Carassius auratus (goldfish) is the source of this 3438-nucleotide long non-coding RNA. RefSeq lists it as uncharacterized. The record is from RefSeq and is a predicted model, not a curated record. Lineage: Eukaryota; Metazoa; Chordata; Actinopteri; Cypriniformes; Cyprinidae. The transcript has 2 exons.
CAAACACAUGGUUUUGAUAAAUGGAAGACAAGAGAAGAGGAGAAACACAGAAACUCCCUCUUGCCAGUAAGUUUUACAACAGCUCCGUGACUCCCGGCCUCAGGAAUCCAUGGUCUUACACAACAGCAGUGGUCAGGGGUGAGAGGGAGAGUUGUGUAAGAAAUGUCUGGAAAAGAUAGACGUGAGUGGUGUAUCAGGCUAUAUUUUAACUCUGGUGGCCUAUAGUAGAAGGCAGGAUGAUGCCAGCAACCUGUGUUAAAAGUAACAGGAGGUGUUUUUUUUAUUUUCUGAGGAAUGGGGAAGGUGUGGUUUUGAGGAUAUGGGCGGAGCUACAACAUUUUUAUAAGAGUAGUAGGACUCAGUAGAUUCAUCCUGCGCCGUUAAACAUUCUUUUAUGUUCUCUCAUCCUGAAAUCUGAUUUAAUGGACUAUAUCACACUAUUUCUGGAAUUUUGCAUUUAUUUUUGCUUUCAUACUGGAAUAUUUAUGUCUACAUCUUUAUUGGAGAAUUUUGGGAGAGUGAUGCAUUUGGAGCAGUGAUGAAUUGGGUAUCUAGUUUGUCACAUGUUGGAGUCAUGUAUGUAUUGUAUCGUACAGACAAACAUGGUUUAAUUUAUAGACACACACAGUAUAUAUAUGUAUGUAUUUGUAUUUGUCUAUGUACUUAUUAACAGACUAGCUUAAACCAUUAUAAUACAAUGAAAUGUUGGAUCAAAAGUGGAUCAAAGCCUUUAAUAUUUGAAGAAGACUGAAAGGUACUUAUGCGGUUUCCCAGAAGAGCAGAUGAAGGUUAAUUCCAGGAAAUUUUGUUGUGGUGAAGAGGUCACUGAGUAGAUACUGUUUUGCUGGUGUGGCCGAACUGACCAAUCAGAUUUCAGCAGUUACUAAGCAGGUGGAGGGAGUUUCCCAAGGUUAUUUAACCUAAAGAAUAACUAUGAUGCCACUCUGUCAGUUUGAUGAAGCACAUGGUCCAUAUUUACAGACAAGACAAGACUAGGACAGGAUGACGAACGAGAAAUUUUUUUCCAUUGAAAACUGUUUAAUGUUCUAUAGUGAGGAAAUGAUUAGGGAUUGUUUUGUUGCUAUGUUGGCUUUUUUUUUUUUUUUUAGAGGGUCAGGCUGUGUUUUAUAACCAGGAAUUCAGGAAUUCAUCCAGCAUAGUAUGGUUUGAGUUACUUAUUAUUUAUUCCCAGCCGGAUCCAAACACACGGUCCUGCCACUUCAUGGUUUUCCUGUUUGUGUGGACAGAACUCUCUGUGUUAUCAUUGGUGAGACCUACAAGGUUUUGGUGAAGAGGAAAUGCUUUGAUCUGGACAAAAACCUUCAAAUUAUUGUGGUUUGGCUGUUCCUUCUUGUGCGUCUAGUUGUUACAGGGGCAUGUUUGGGUCAGUUAGAAGUGGAACUGAUAAAUCACAGACUAUACUUCACAUUUCUAAUCACUGCUUUUAAUGUAUCUUGUCAGUUUGUCUUUGUCCUUUUAAAAUGGAAAUAAUUUAUUGAUUUAAAAAAAAACUUAAAAUCAGAUUUAAAAAAAUACAGAAUUUAAACUUUUUUUAGGGCAAAACAUGUUGCUGAUUAUGUCUUGCAUUAUUUUUUCUGCUUUUCUGUUUCAAGGUCUGACACUGCCACGUUUAUCUUCUUUUAGAGGCUGAAUGUGUGAUUAAUAAUUCUUAGAGUGGCUGUGAAUCAGUGUGUGUGUGUGUGAGUGUGUGCGUGUGUGUGUGUCCGUCCAUCCGUCCCUGCACAAUGCCCUUAGCCCUGAACAGUAAGAGUUUAUGUGCUGAGGUUCAAGUAUCAGCACAUGGUCUCUUACUUGUAGGGAAAAGAGUCUUUAUCAACUUCUCAUUGCUUUUUUUUUUCAAAGUAUUCACUUUGUUUUGCGAGAUCAACAUUUACUUUUAAUCAUUCAGCAACAAAUAAGUCACAAGUUUGGCAUACAUAAGGAAACAAUUUUCAGAAAGAUUCAAGAGUAAAUUUAAAAAUAUAUAUUUGAUAAAACAUAGAAGAAUAGAUAACUUUUUUAAUGCUCGACAUGGUUUAGACUAGAUUAAUUAUAAAAAAUUUUGUUUUAUUAAAUUUAAACCCAGGAAAAAAAUGUGUAAAAAAAAAAUUCAAAUGGAGACCGAUAAUGCUUGGAUCCAAAAAUCCUUAAAAAAUGUUAUAACCCUGGGGGGGGGAAUAGAAAGAGAAAAAGACUUAUGUCAUAUUUUUUAUUUAUUUAUUAUUUAUUUUUCAAAGCCACAUUUAAAAUAUUUAGGACCGUCACAAGUUUAUCAUGCAAAGGCAACAAGUUUCAGAAGCUAGAAAAAAAAAAAUAUAUAUAUAUAUAUAUAUAUAUAUAUAUAUAUAUAUAUUUUUUUUUUUUUUUUUUUUUUUUUUUUUUAAUCAAAAUUAUGUGUAGAAAGUGACUUUAUUUAUUAUUGUCUGCCAAAGUGUUUUGUCAUUUUUUAAACUUGGAUCCAUGAUCAAAAGCUGAUUUAAAUGUAAAUAACCCUGGGCAAAAAUAUUUAAUUAAUUUAAACAACUGCUAUAAAAUAUUAAGGAAAGUUUGUCAAACAAAAAAGUCAACAAUAUUCAGUAAUUCUUAAGUGUAUGUCUACUGAAGCUAGAAAACAAUAGAGAAAAUAUUUUAAACCAAAUGUAUGUGUAGGAAGUGGCUUUAUUUAUUGUUGUAUGCUAAAUAAUAAUAAAAAAUCAUCAUGGUUUAGAUUUGAUUUUUUUUUUUUUUUUUUUUUUUUUUUUUUACUUGAAUCCAUAAUCCAAAAAAUGCUUAAAAUGUAGAUCGCCCUGGCUAAAAAAAUUUUAACUAUGAAAAAUUUCAUAAUUUAAAAUGUUAAAACCAAAACAAUUGUUUUUGGAUAUUGAGAUUUUAUUUACUCAAAUUUUCAUAUAAAUUUUUUUUUACAAUGGUACCACAAAACCGUAGCCCACAGACUGUUUUCCACAACUACAAACUCUCUCCUCCAGAGGGCGAUGUCUGACUGCUAAACUUAAAUAUGAUUUUAUUUUUUAUUUUUUUGGGUCCAUAUCCUAUUGCACACCAUUGCUGCAGAUAAAAAUUAAUUGAAACAAUACAUCCCUUCUAAUAUGUAUUAAUUACUCACUGUAUUGAGUAUCUGUCCCAGAUGUCACUGCAUGUCACCAGUAAAAAGAAAAUGUACAGCUUUCAUCAGUUACACAAACAUAUUCUGUCACUCUAUCCUAAUUGAAACUGCUUCUCCCUGUUCCACAGGAAAUUGCCUGGAAAAAAAGGAGCAGUCAUUGGCACUCCACAUUAGAAUGAAUCACUUGGCCAUCAGGGAACAAACUGAAUCAUCAGGAAAACAUUAGAGAGAAAUGAUUGUAUAUUCUUCUACAGUUCAUUAUUUCAUUACAUUCUGUAUUGAUGUUUUUAAUGUAUGUUGUGCAAAGAAUAAAGUUUUCAGUCACAAAUCAAGAA